AGCGAACGCUGGCGGCAGGCCUAACACAUGCAAGUCGAACGAACCUUUCGGGGUUAGUGGCGGACGGGUGAGUAACACGUUGGAACUUGCCUUUAGGUUCGGAAUAACUCAGGGAAACUUGUGCUAAUACCGAAUGUGCCCUUCGGGGGAAAGAUUAAUCGCCUUUAGAGCGGCCCGCGUCUGAUUAGCUAGUUGGUUGAGGUAAUGGCUCACCAAGGCGACGAUCAGUAGCUGGUCUGAGAGGAUGAUCAGCCACAUUGGGACUGAGACACGGCCCAAACUCCUACGGGAGGCAGCAGUGGGGAAUCUUGCGCAAUGGGCGAAAGCCUGACGCAGCCAUGCCGCGUGAAUGAUGAAGGUCUUAGGAUUGUAAAAUUCUUUCACCGGGGACGAUAAUGACGGUACCCGGAGAAGAAGCCCCGGCUAACUUCGUG
RNAcentral lists this ribosomal RNA (434 nucleotides) under uncultured bacterium. Its description in RNAcentral is "partial 16S ribosomal RNA". It matches the Rfam family "Bacterial small subunit ribosomal RNA", at positions 29 to 507 of the family's 1533-position model. The record is from RNAcentral.